Molecule: non-coding RNA, 29 nt
Filed under: Mus musculus (house mouse)
Lineage: Eukaryota; Metazoa; Chordata; Mammalia; Rodentia; Muridae
Source: RNAcentral
UGCUAUCUUGUAGAAUUUCAGUUUUUCCU